RNAcentral lists this long non-coding RNA (672 nucleotides) under Mus musculus (house mouse). Its description in RNAcentral is "predicted gene 45670". Lineage: Eukaryota; Metazoa; Chordata; Mammalia; Rodentia; Muridae. The record is from RNAcentral.
CUCCUCCCACCAAGUCAGGGAACAGCCUCCACAGGACAAGCAUAUCAGACGCGGGGAGAGCAGUGUGCAGAACGCCAUCCCUGCCCUGUAAUUUUGAAGCAGUGCUAACCAACAUGAGUGCCACACACCAGCAUGCACACGAGUGGGCUACGGGCAUGCAGAUAUUCUGGCCCUGAGAGCCGGAUAGGCACAGGCACUGUCUAUCUAUGAGGGAGACAGAACACUGCUCAGAGAAGCCCUGGCCGUGAGAAGCUGCUUUUCUAGCUCUUCACUUCAGUCCUCUCUGCAUCUCUCUCCUGCUCUGGAGCCAGCACCUCGGAGGCCUCUGAUAGACAGCUAACACAAGCACCUGAUACCAUAACGUACUGCGGCCUCAAAGACAGCCCAGCCCACAGGAUCAGGGGAGCCCUCCUGGUGCAGGUGACCCUUGCGCUGAGUUCUGAGGGACUAGAAAAAACUGGCCAACCCCAGGAGAAGCGACGACGGACAGGACAAGAGCAGUGAUGAGUGGAGUGAGGGUGUCUGUUUCUUUAAGAAGCCCGUUAUGCAUUGCUGCUGGAGCAGAUUACGAUUCUAUCAGCACCCUAGAGAAGAACUUAGAGAUGGAGAUUGUCAGCAAUGACUACCAGCCUUAGAAACCAUCUGGAAAAAUAAAAUUGUUAAUGGAACUAG